AGAAUUAUAUUUUAAAAAAGAAUAAUAGAUUGUAGAUCUAGAGGACAAAAAUUCUAAAAGUCUUGAGGAUUUUUGUUGUU
RNAcentral lists this transfer RNA (80 nucleotides) under Clavinema parasiluri. RNAcentral describes it as "tRNA-Tyr". Lineage: Eukaryota; Metazoa; Nematoda; Chromadorea; Rhabditida; Philometridae. The record is from RNAcentral.